CAGACCCCUGGGCUAACAGGCCAAGGGAAGAACCUCAAUGGCAUCCACUGGGGUCUGUGUCAGCACACCCGGACCAGGUCAGAACAAUGGGCCCCACCAAUGUCUCAAUCUACAGAGAGGUCCUUCCUCACCAAGUUGCCCCCAGAGCCCACCAGAUCCUUAUGGCCAUCCUUAAGAUGAACUCUGCGGAGGGCAGGCUCAAGGCCUUCUCCACCUGUGGAUCUCACCUGAUAGUGCUUUUCAAAUGGUGACCAUCCUUCUGGUAUCAACUUUGAUUUGUCUUCAACUUUCAGUACAAAAGCCUGAAGUCUGGAUCACGGUUCUCACAGUGACAAGUGCUUAUGACGCAAUUAAAAGGAAAUCUUUCUUAAUGCAUCAGUUUCAUAAUCUUUUUUUAAAGGUAUUCUUGUGUUUUUUAAUAAAAUAUUUUCAGUGUCUCACACACUCUUUAAAUACCAGUGACCAUCAUACUGGCCUACUGACAUAUAGAAGAUUGCAGUUACUGUUCUAUGUGCUGGACACACAUACAGAAAAGAUGAAUACAUCAAAAUAUCUGUAUUAGUGAUAUUUUAACUCUAUCUCCCUUGUGGUGGGUGGAAUCUCAGAUUUCUGUUAAAUUAUGAUAUGUGAACAUAUAUAUGCUUGGAGAAGCAGAAAUAAAAGUCUAAUUAUUUUCAAGUGGUGUAUUACAUACAUUAAAAAUCCAAAAGAAUCUUCAAG
Molecule: long non-coding RNA, 720 nt
Filed under: Equus caballus (horse)
Lineage: Eukaryota; Metazoa; Chordata; Mammalia; Perissodactyla; Equidae
Description: lncRNA (ENSECAG00000056512.1)
Source: RNAcentral